AGAAUGUUGCAUGAUAAAAUGAAACAAACGGAUGUUUUAUAAAUGAAAAGUCCUCCCGAUGGCAGCGUGUAGUUAACAGAGCAGGAAGGAAGGAAGGAAGGGAGUGGCGUUUGAGAACCAGUAAAUGGAGAGAGCGAUGGGAGCAGCGGUUAGCCCUCGAAAUAAGGUGGAGGCAGCGCGUUAUCUCCCCGAGACAAGACAAGGGAGGGGGAAAAAAAAACAAAAAAAUAAAAAAGUCAUGUGAAGAGACCCUUGUGUUUACUGCUGUUGCUGCAGAGCUGUGGUAGUUUGGGAGGGAGGAGGCCGAGGAGGAGGAGGAGAACGGGAACAUGUGUGAAGUGACUCAUUUGAAGGAACGUUUUAUGGCCCCCACUAAAACACAAAUUAAUCAGGUUUAUUUUAGGCCAACGCUUACAUCAUAAUAAAAGCCACGCUUCUCCUGCCACAUGCCGUUUAUUUUUACUCAGCGCGGCGUUAUGACGGGAAUAUUUCAGUCUUAUUUCUUCCUGUACGUGCUGAGAGCUGGAGUGGGGAGGGGGAGGUGGUGGUCCAAAAACAACAACCCCCCCUCUCCUUACCCUUGAGGGGAAGAGCAAAUAUUUGCGAGGCAGUUGCAGCGUGCCACGACCAGAAGAGGCUUGAAGGAGGUGGAGGUGGAGACGGUUCAGAGGAGGCCUACAAAGGUUAGUCUGUCACCAACAAGUCUGAAUGAGGACUGGAGCGAGGAGGAGACGGCGCUGUGGUGGAGAGGAAGAGGAGUAAAAGGCUCUGAUGUGACUGGCUACCGACACACAACGGGGCGGCCUAUUUAUAGCGAUGAAAACCGUGUGAAAGAGAUGGAGGGGAUUGUCUUUGUGCGUCUCCGUCGGCGUGACUCACCUUGAGCUUGCCCUCGCAGUGCGGGAAGCCA
Mugil cephalus (flathead mullet) is the source of this 910-nucleotide long non-coding RNA. RefSeq lists it as uncharacterized. NCBI's taxonomy places the organism in Eukaryota, Metazoa, Chordata, Actinopteri, Mugiliformes, Mugilidae. The record is from RefSeq and is a predicted model, not a curated record. The transcript is spliced from 3 exons.